Molecule: small RNA, 135 nt
Filed under: Paenibacillus antarcticus
Lineage: Bacteria; Bacillati; Bacillota; Bacilli; Caryophanales; Paenibacillaceae
Description: c-di-AMP sequence
Rfam family: c-di-AMP riboswitch aptamer (ydaO/yuaA leader)
About the family: This family represents a conserved RNA structure found upstream of the ydaO and yuaA genes in Bacillus subtilis and related genes in other bacteria. The ydaO/yuaA element is thought to act as a genetic "off" switch for the ydaO and yuaA genes in its native state. It is believed that the element may be triggered during osmotic shock leading to activation of ydaO, a predicted amino acid transporter gene, and members of the yuaA-yubG operon which code for KtrA and KtrB K+ transporters.
Source: Rfam by way of RNAcentral
AUUAACCAAUUGCCGAAUUUUGUUUUUUUGAAAACGGGGGAACCAUUCCGGGUGAAUUAUUCUUGAAAGCAAGAGAAUAUAGGGAACCUUUUACCGAAUCCUCAGCUAACUCCGUAGGCAUCGAAAGGAAGACGA